UGGGGAAUAUUGGACAAUGGGCGAAAGCCUGAUCCAGCCAUGCCGCGUGUGUGAAGAAGGUCUUCGGAUUGUAAAGCACUUUAAGUUGGGAGGAAGGGCAGUAAGCGAAUACCUUGCUGUUUUGACGUUACCGACAGAAUAAGCACCGGCUAACUCUGUGCCAGCAGCCGCGGUAAUACAGAGGGUGCAAGCGUUAAUCGGAAUUACUGGGCGUAAAGCGCGCGUAGGUGGUUCGUUAAGUUGAAUGUGAAAGCCCCGGGCUCAACCAGGGAACUGCAUCCAAAACUGGCGAGCUAGAGUAGGGCAGAGGGUGGUGGAAUUUCCUGUGUAGCGGUGAAAUGCGUGGAUAUAGGAAGGAACACCAGUGGCGAAGGCGACCACCUGGGCUCAUACUGACACUGAGGUGCGAAAGCGUGGGGGGCAAACAGG
RNAcentral lists this ribosomal RNA (429 nucleotides) under Pseudomonadota bacterium. RNAcentral describes it as "Proteobacteria bacterium partial 16S ribosomal RNA". It matches the Rfam family "Bacterial small subunit ribosomal RNA", at positions 355 to 776 of the family's 1533-position model. Lineage: Bacteria; Pseudomonadati; Pseudomonadota. The record is from RNAcentral.